AGCCCAUUAGCUAGCUCGCACCCCAAAAUGCAACAAUCCAUUGUAAAUAACCCCUAACCACACCUUAUACCCCUAAGACCAAACCAUUUUUCCCCCUAAGUAUGGGCGACAGAAAAG
Molecule: ribosomal RNA, 117 nt
Filed under: Apogon semilineatus (half-lined cardinal)
Lineage: Eukaryota; Metazoa; Chordata; Actinopteri; Kurtiformes; Apogonidae
Description: partial 16S ribosomal RNA
Source: RNAcentral